RNAcentral lists this ribosomal RNA (138 nucleotides) under Flavobacteriaceae bacterium TMED121. RNAcentral's name for it is "partial 16S ribosomal RNA". It matches the Rfam family "Bacterial small subunit ribosomal RNA", at positions 1 to 132 of the family's 1533-position model. The record is from RNAcentral. Lineage: Bacteria; Pseudomonadati; Bacteroidota; Flavobacteriia; Flavobacteriales; Flavobacteriaceae.
UACAACGAAGAGUUUGAUCCUGGCUCAGGAUGAACGCUAGCGGCAGGCUUAACACAUGCAAGUCGAGGGGUAACAGGGAUUGCUUGCAAUCCGCUGACGACCGGCGCACGGGUGCGUAACGCGUAUGCAACCUACCUU